Molecule: ribosomal RNA, 801 nt
Filed under: Triticum aestivum (bread wheat)
Lineage: Eukaryota; Viridiplantae; Streptophyta; Magnoliopsida; Poales; Poaceae
Description: partial small subunit ribosomal RNA
Source: RNAcentral
AUGCCGAGUGCCUCCUGGAAUUCCAAGAGUAAAGGCCUAGAAAAAUUCGCUAGUGAAAGAGUUUGCAAACCUGGAUUGCAAAGGUCAAGGGAAUAUGGCUUACGUCCUGUGAAGUUGAUAUCUCAAACAGUCUAUUCCAUGGGUUGCAUUGGUUGUUGUCAUUUACAUGAGGAUUCUACACAUGAAUCUGUGAAGUUUAGAUCCGCGCUUGACAAAACUGCUGGUGGUUUACUACCUUCCUCGGUGAAAGACCAGUUAUCUUUGCUAGCUAGGCAUUUUCGUCAAACUGCUGAUGAAAAGUCUAUCGAAGGAGCUCAGAAUGUGCUGCUAGAUUCGCUGAAUUGCAUUGUAUUAGCUAGUGCUUCAGACGAUGAGGCAAAUCAAUCUGACACAAAUUCAAGAAGAAAUAUAAGCAGUAGCAUGGCAGGCAGUGAUAAAUCGGUGCUCAGGAGCCAUGGAUGCAAUGAUCGUUCUUCCAAUUCUAAUGUAUCUCCUCUUGUUCAACGUUCUCCAAAUGUUUCCAAUGCAAAUGUGGAUUUCCAUGAUACUGCAGGUACAUGUUUAGGGAGCAAAAGGAAAUCUGUUUCUCCAGUUGAUGGACAAGAUACUUUCUGUGUUAAUCCAAGACCUCAUAAGAUGCAAAGGCCUGAUCGUGUAGAUAAAGUUCUAAUUGAGGAAGGAAGGAAGCUUGAUUUUAGUCAAGUUGAUAAGCAACUCGAGUUUGUUUCUGAACUUAUGAAAAAGCUUAUUCCACCAAAGUCCACCCGAUCAGCAAACCUAUUGACAAGGGAAAAAGCAUGA